GCCUACGGGGGGCAGCAGUAGGGAAUUUUCGUCAAUGGGCGCAAGCCUGAACGAGCAAUGCCGCGUGAACGAGGAAGGUCUUCGGAUCGUAAAGUUCUGUUGAAGGGGAAAAAGAGCGGAGAGAGGAAAUGGUCUCCGAUUGAUAUUACCCUUCGAGGAAGUCACGGCUAACUACGUGCCAGCAGCCGCGGUAAUACGUAGGUGGCGAGCGUUAUCCGGAAUGAUUGGGCGUAAAGGGUGCGUAGGCGGUUGUGCAAGUCUGAAGUGAAAGCCCGCGGCUC
This 281-nucleotide ribosomal RNA is filed under the name uncultured bacterium. RNAcentral's name for it is "partial 16S ribosomal RNA". It matches the Rfam family "Bacterial small subunit ribosomal RNA", at positions 337 to 610 of the family's 1533-position model. The record is from RNAcentral.